This 456-nucleotide long non-coding RNA is filed under the name Felis catus (domestic cat). RNAcentral's name for it is "lncRNA (ENSFCAG00000036828.3)". Lineage: Eukaryota; Metazoa; Chordata; Mammalia; Carnivora; Felidae. The record is from RNAcentral.
UACAUCGGGUGUAUAACCCCUGUUUGCAAACCUACCACAGGGAGAAAGCACACACAGAAGGCGUUUGCAUUUUGUUUGUUUCAGGUGAGUGGCUUUCAAGGUCCAACUAAGGAGGUCACCUGAUCAUUCAGUGUUUGAAAGACACCAGCCAGCCACAGGCAUCCAUCUAACUGACCGGGCCAAUGAAAGACGAGAGCCAGCAGCGGCAUGUGCUGGAAAGAACACAACACCAGAGAUGAGCUGAUUUGAUUCCAGAGGACUGAAGUAUCUAAAUGCAACAUCCAGGCCAGGCAUGCCCUGGCAAAGGACAGCCCCUUCUCAACAUGUGAAGCGUGGGACGAAGGUCCCGAUCUGAGGUUGGGGAUGGGGGGGGGGUGUUGAGAAACGAGGGAAAGGAGAGUAAUGGAAGGAGGGAAACUUGGUAGGGAUGUGGGGGGAGGCAGGCAGAAUUUAGGG